Molecule: microRNA precursor, 60 nt
Filed under: Drosophila yakuba
Lineage: Eukaryota; Metazoa; Arthropoda; Insecta; Diptera; Drosophilidae
Description: Dya-Mir-92-P5_pre stem-loop
Rfam family: mir-310 microRNA precursor family
Source: RNAcentral
AGGACGGGUCGUGUGGCAGUGUAUUGAUUUCUUAGCUAUAUUGCACACUUCCCGCCCUUU